GGCGUAAAGAGCUGUAGGCGAUUUGUCGCGUCUGCUGUGAAAAUCCGGGCUCAACCCCGGACUUGCAGUGGGUACGGGCAGACUAGAGUAUGGUAGGGGAGACUGGAAUCCUGGUGUAGCGGUGAAAUGCGCAGAUAUCAGGAGGAACACCGAUGGCGAAGGCAGGUCUUGGGCCAUUACUGACGCUGAGAAGCGAAAGCAUGGGGAGCGAACAGGAUUAGAUACCCUGUAGUCCAUGCCGUAAACGUUGGGCGCUAGGUGUGGGACUCAUUCCACGAGUUCCGUGCCGAGCUAACGCAUUAAGCGCCCCGCCUGGGGAGUACGGCCGCAAGGCUAAAACUCAAAGGAAUGACGGGGGCCCGCACAAGCGGCGGAGCAUGCGGAUUAAUUCGAUGCAACGCGAAGAACCUACCAAGGCUUGACAUAUACCGGAAACACCUAGAGAUAGGUGCCCCGUUUGGUCGGUAUAAGGUGGUGCAUGGUUGUCGUCAGCUCGUGUCGUGAGAUGUUGGGUUAAGUCCCGCAACGACGCAACCCUCGUUCUAUGUUGCCAGCACGUAAAGGUGGGGACUCAUAGGAGACUGCCGGGUCAACUCGGAGGAAGGUGGGGAUGACGUCAAAUCAUCAUGCCCCUUAUGUCUUGGGCUUCCGCAUGCUACAAUGGCCGGUACAAAGGGCUGCGAUACCGCAAGGUGGAGCGAAUCCCAAAAACCGGUCUCAGUUCGGAUUGGGGUCUGCAACUCGACCCCAUGAAGUCGGAGUCGCUAGUAUCGCAGAUCAGCAACGCUGCGGUGAAUACGUUCCCGGGCCUUGCACACACCGCCCGAA
RNAcentral lists this ribosomal RNA (828 nucleotides) under uncultured Janibacter sp. RNAcentral's name for it is "bacterial SSU rRNA". It matches the Rfam family "Bacterial small subunit ribosomal RNA", at positions 557 to 1398 of the family's 1533-position model. Lineage: Bacteria; Bacillati; Actinomycetota; Actinomycetes; Micrococcales; Intrasporangiaceae. The record is from RNAcentral.